This 442-nucleotide ribosomal RNA is filed under the name uncultured bacterium. Its description in RNAcentral is "partial 16S ribosomal RNA". It matches the Rfam family "Bacterial small subunit ribosomal RNA", at positions 338 to 795 of the family's 1533-position model. The record is from RNAcentral.
CCUACGGGAGGCAGCAGUGGGGAAUAUUGGGCAAUGGGCGCAAGCCUGACCCAGCAACGCCGCGUGAAGGAAGAAGGCUUUCGGGUUGUAAACUUCUUUUGACAGGGAAGAGUAUAAGACGGUACCUGUCGAAUAAGCCACGGCUAACUACGUCCCAGCAGCCGCGGUAAUACGUAGGUGGCAAGCGUUGUCCGGAUUUACUGGGUGGAAAGGGCGUGUAGCCGGGUUGACAAGUCAGUUGUGAAAUCCUGCGGCUUAACCGCAGAACUGCAUUUGAAACUGUUGAUCUGGAGUACUGGAGAGGCAGACGGAAUUCCUAGUGUAGCGGUGAAAUGCGUAGAUAUUAGGAGGAACACCAGUGGCGAAGGCGGUCUGCUGGACAGCAACUGACGGUGAGGCGCGAAAGCGUGGGGAGCAAACAGGAUUAGAUACCCCGGUAGUC